Octopus sinensis (East Asian common octopus) is the source of this 229-nucleotide long non-coding RNA. RefSeq lists it as uncharacterized. The record is from RefSeq and is a predicted model, not a curated record. NCBI's taxonomy places the organism in Eukaryota, Metazoa, Mollusca, Cephalopoda, Octopoda, Octopodidae. The transcript has 3 exons.
AUGUGUGUGUGUAUGUGUGUGUGUGAGUGUGUGUGUAUAUGUGUGUUGUGUUUAUACAUAUAUACAUACAUGUGUAAAAUGUGUGCUUUUAUCCAUUUUUUUCACCAGUGCAUGCACUUGGAAUGUUUCUGUGCAUGGUAAAAGAGAGAGAGAAAGAAAGAGAGGAGAGAGAGAGAGAGAGAGAGAGAGAGAGAGAGAUAGAGAGAGAGAGAGAGAGAGAGAGAGAGAG